Pelobates cultripes (western spadefoot toad) is the source of this 229-nucleotide non-coding RNA. NCBI's taxonomy places the organism in Eukaryota, Metazoa, Chordata, Amphibia, Anura, Pelobatidae. The record is from the annotation of a GenBank genome assembly.
UGUCAUUAAAUAACACACUAUCUGUGCAAAUAAUUUGUGGAUAAAUGUUUUACCAACUAUGGAGGAAGUACUAUUUUAUUAAAAUAUGUAAGAAUCCAUGGGGUGCCAAAAUAAUAUUUCUGUAGUCAUAUGAGAUUUAGUUCUACAUCAGAUGUUUGGCUGCACCCCAUCUCUAGAACUGGUAAUACAAUGAACACUAUUGAAAUUGAAUUUGCACAGUCAAUUAUUG